UGCAGUUUGAUCUCUGACUGCUGUGCUAGCAAUCAGUGAGACUCCCUGGGCAUAGGACCCUCCGAGCCAGGUGGGGGUUAUAAUCUCGUGGUGCGCCGUUUUUUAAGCCCGUCGGAAAAGCGCAGUAUUCCGGUUGGAGUGACCCGAUUUCCAGGUGCUGUCCGUCACCCCUUUCUUUGACUGGGAAAGGGAACUCCCUGACCCCUUGCCCUUCCCAAGUGAGGCAGUGCCUCGCCCUGCUUCGGCUCGCGCACGGUGCACGCACUCACUGACCUGCGCCCACUGUCUGGCACUCCCUAGUGAGAUGAACCCGGUACCUCAGAUGGAAAUGCAGAAAUCACCCGUCUUCUGCGUCGCUCAAGCUGGGAGCUGUAGACCGGAGCUGUUCCUACUCGGCCAUCUUGGCUCCUCCCCGCCAAGCCUGUCAGUCAGAAUUCCAUUGCAUGCCUGUUCUUGAACAACCAUGGUCAAGGAGACAAGAUUCCUGAUGACUGACUCACACUAAUCAAAACUCAGCCACUGGUCCUAGCAAACUUCAUGAGAUGAGAGUGGAGAGUGUCCCAUCUCAUCUUAAGCAUAUGACUGUCCCAUACCCAUACAAAAUCAGGUUCUUUGCACAAAGAACAAUAGAGGUGAAUGACCAAUGAGUAAUCAAAGAGAGAGUUUUUCAGAAUAUGACUGCAUUUGGAAAUAGGGACUUUAAAGAGGUGAUUAAGUUACAAUGAGGCCACUAGAGAAGACAAUUAUCCAUUUGGACUGAUGUGCUUAGAAGAAGAGCAUAUUGGUAAAAAGAGACACCAGAGGUACAACAGCACAGAGAAAGACCAUGUGAGGACAUAGUGAGAAGAUGGCCAUCCCAUCUGCAAGCCAAGGACAGAGGCCUCAGGAGAAACCAACCCUGAUGACACCUUGAUCUUGGACUUCACAGCCUCCAGAACUAACAUACUCAAGUGUCUCAGCUCAACAUUUGGAGAUGAGCCAUCCUCCUCUUAUUGUAAGAAAAGCUUGAAGGAGUAUUUUCACAGCGAUGGAACUGGAAGUUAAGGCAACUUCUAUCAGCAUCAAGAAAAGAAAAGAAGUAUUCACCACUUACGAAACAACAUCUCUCUUCUCAUCAAUAGUUUGAUUUACAGCAUCUACUGCAGAAGACCUCAAUAAUGCAUAAGAACAUCUGGAAGUACGGUAAUUUCAGCUAUCAGAGAUAAGAAUUGACACAGAACAGUUUCCUCACUGGAGAAAAUAAGCCUGGUUAUUUUUUGGCCUAUGUUGAAACAUCAUAAGUAGAAUGAAACAGCAUAAUUUUUUCCCCCUGGGGUUCAAGAGUUUAUUUCUUUUGAUACAACAAUAAAUCAACUGACGAAAUGGAAUUUCUUUGCAAUACAUAUGCAACAAGUUAGUUUGCAUGGACAAGUUGAGCUUCAGUUUAUAUAUAGACACUCUGGAACAUUUUAUUAUAAAGCAAUAGUGCUGGAAAGCCACUUAAAGGGGUAACUGCACCAGUAACUAUGAGAAGGAGAUAUAUGAUUAACCUAGUAGAACUUAAAAAGUGAUUUCUGCAGCUUUGAAAUCAUCUACACAUGAACUCAAGCAGCAAUACGUAUUGGCAUCUGGAAAUCUGCAGAUUUGGAUGCACAAACAAUUAGACAUAAGACACAGCAUAAUGAAGUAUUUGUUUUCAUAGAGGAUCAUAGAAAUUCAUAAACAGAGGAUGAAGAAACACAGAAGACAGAGGAAGGAUUUAGUUUUGGGAACAUGUGCUAAUGGCCAUCAAACAAUUCUGAAAUAACUGAAAGAGAACCUUUGAAACACCCUUUAGAUUAAGAGCCUGGCUUGUAAUCUGUAACAACAAACGGUAUUACAAUGAGAGAAAAAUAAAUGUCCUGUCAAGGCAUUCCUUCAAUGACAUCUUGUCACACAAGUCUAUAUCCAAGGCUGCCCACAAAGUGGAAAAAUGGGGAAAAUAAGGCGGGACCACAAGGCAAGAGGAGAAAGGUACAAUGAGGGUUCAGGAAAGAGACUUUUGAUGUUUGAUUUAUCUACUCAUAUCAAACUACAAAAAAAAUUCUAUCUGAACUUUUGCUUUCAACAUACAAUAGAUCUGUGCUGCAUUUUUUUCCUGAAGAAAAAAUGCAUUUUUUCCUCAGUUACUGCUACUAAACAGAAGCUGUUUUUCUACAAACCGAAAAUAAGUAGUCUAUUCAUAUGUAAUUUAAAGCCCCUGAAAACUGUGAAGAGGAAAUGGAAAAUACAGCGCAAAGGCUUCACAUUGUUCUCAAACUAUCAUGUAACAGGCUUACCAUAUAGAACAGUGACAUAAACAUGCUGGGCUCAUAUACAUUUCAAGAGAGCCAGACCUCUAUGGAUUUCUGGAAAGCAGACCUAUUUGUCCAGGGUCUGUCACUGUAAAACAGAAAAAUGCCCCCUGACAAGCUUCUGCUAAUUUUAUUGUGGCACGGAGUCCUGUGCAUACAUCCUCUACAGUAUGACUGCAGUUCAAUUGCAGAGCACGAUGAAAUUGGAUCGGCAGAGACAGGGACUACCCUGGGGUCAGCUGUGACCAUGCCACUUCCAUGUGAUGUCUAGUUGGGGUGAUGGUGUGUAAAUAAACGUAGAGAAUUGCAAAUCUUGUCAUGGCCACGCAGAACAGCUCAAGCAUUUAAAGAUGGUUGCCCGCAAACCUAACUGGAAGGUGGUUGCUGUGUGUGGUGGCUGAGGAAAUACUCAAUUCCUUGCCGGAGUCUUCUCGUUCUUGACAUAUCUGAAAGCACUGACCCAGCACUAUGUUGCUAAAGGGAUUAAUCACUAAAUUGUUUUUCACUGUGGUGGAAACUAAGGAAACACACUAAUCAUAUUUGAAUAUUGUGCUUUAAAGCUAUUGUGCUGAUACCAAAGACACUUUUUAUUUAUAUUAUCCUUUUUUGAUUUAUUUGUUUUUUUAAAUGAGGUGAAACAUCUUAAUGUCCUACUGUUUUC
RNAcentral lists this long non-coding RNA (2973 nucleotides) under Homo sapiens (human). RNAcentral describes it as "HSALNT0041800". Lineage: Eukaryota; Metazoa; Chordata; Mammalia; Primates; Hominidae. The record is from RNAcentral.